GGCAAUGGCCUGGGGGUCCCACCUGUUCCCAUUCCGAACACAGAAGUUAAGCCCCAGCACGUCGAAGGUACUUGGCUGGCGACGGCCCGGAAGAAUAGAUCGCUGCCGCAU
This 111-nucleotide ribosomal RNA is filed under the name Clostridiales bacterium. Lineage: Bacteria; Bacillati; Bacillota; Clostridia; Eubacteriales. The record is from RNAcentral.